Molecule: ribosomal RNA, 490 nt
Filed under: uncultured bacterium
Lineage: Bacteria
Description: partial 16S ribosomal RNA
Rfam family: Bacterial small subunit ribosomal RNA
Source: RNAcentral
GAUGAACGCUAGCGAUAGGCUUAACACAUGCAAGUCGAGGGGCAGCAUGGUCUUAGCUUGCUAAGACUGAUGGCGACCGGCGCACGGGUGCGUAGCGCGUAUGCAACUUGCCUCACAGAGGGGGAUAACCCGUCGAAAGACGGACUAAUACCGCGUACACUUGGGAUAGGGCAUCCUGACCCAAGGAAAUGAAAUUCGCUGUGAGAUAGGCAUGCGUCCCAUUAGCUAGUUGGUGAGGUAACGGCUCACCAAGGCGACGAUGGGUAGGGGAACUGAGAGGUUGAACCCCCACACUGGUACUGAGACACGGACCAGACUCCUACGGGAGGCAGCAGUGAGGAAUAUUGGUCAAUGGGCGAGAGCCUGAACCAGCCAAGUCGCGUGAAGGAUGACUGUCUUAUGGAUUGUAAACUUCUUUUAUACGGGAAUAACAAGAGCCACGUGUGGCUCCCUGCAUGUACCGUAUGAAUAAGCAUCGGCUAACUCCGUG